This 240-nucleotide long non-coding RNA is filed under the name Manihot esculenta (cassava). RNAcentral's name for it is "long non-coding RNA (MESC_LNC000529)". The record is from RNAcentral. Lineage: Eukaryota; Viridiplantae; Streptophyta; Magnoliopsida; Malpighiales; Euphorbiaceae.
GCGAGAGAAAGAAAGAGGCGAAGGUUUAUAAUGACUUUUUUGGUCUAAUUCUUUUAGGUGAGGUCCCUUUUGGAUCCGUGGUUUUGUUUCUGUGGCCGUGGACUCGCUUUGGAUCUUGGUUAUUUUCCCUGUUUGGGGAAUGGCAUUCGAAUUGUGCCUGACUGUUCUAUAGGUGGGGGUUAAUCACAAGUGGGUUCUUACUUUAAGCAUAGUUAGAAUUUUGUUGCAUGCAUACGAUAG